Molecule: ribosomal RNA, 122 nt
Filed under: Salvator merianae (Argentine black and white tegu)
Lineage: Eukaryota; Metazoa; Chordata; Lepidosauria; Squamata; Teiidae
Source: RNAcentral
CUGGGCAUCAACAUUUAGUUAACCCUUUAUCAAUCUUGUCUGAUCUUGGAAAAUAAGUAGGGUCAGGAUUAUAAGUACUUGGAUGGGAGAUUACCUGGAAAGUGCAGGUACAGUAGUCUAGA